RNAcentral lists this transfer RNA (66 nucleotides) under Candidatus Ruminococcus intestinipullorum. It matches the Rfam family "tRNA", at positions 5 to 66 of the family's 71-position model. From Rfam's summary of the family: Transfer RNA (tRNA) molecules are approximately 80 nucleotides in length. Their secondary structure includes four short double-helical elements and three loops (D, anti-codon, and T loops). Lineage: Bacteria; Bacillati; Bacillota; Clostridia; Eubacteriales; Oscillospiraceae. The record is from RNAcentral.
CUGUAGCUCAGCUGGAUAGAGCAACGGCCUUCUAAGCCGUAGGUCAGGGGUUCGAAUCCCUUCAGG